UGCUGCUUUGCUGACGAGUGGCGGACGGGUGAGUAAUGUCUGGGAAACUGCCUGAUGGAGGGGGAUAACUACUGGAAACGGUAGCUAAUACCGCAUAACGUCGCAAGACCAAAGAGGGGGACCUUCGGGCCUCUUGCCAUCAGAUGUGCCCAGAUGGGAUUAGCUUGUUGGUGGGGUAACGGCUCACCAAGGCGACGAUCCCUAGCUGGUCUGAGAGGAUGACCAGCCACACUGGAACUGAGACACGGUCCAGACUCCUACGGGAGGCAGCAGUGGGGAAUAUUGCACAAUGGGCGCAAGCCUGAUGCAGCCAUGCCGCGUGUAUGAAGAAGGCCUUCGGGUUGUAAAGUACUUUCAGCGGGGAGGAAGGUGUUGUGGUUAAUAACCGCAGCAAUUGACGUUACCCGCAGAAGAAGCACCGGCUAACUCCGUGCCAGCAGCCGCGGUAAUACGGAGGGUGCAAGCGUUAAUCGGAAUUACUGGGCGUAAAGCGCACGCAGGCGGUCUGUUAAGUCAGAUGUGAAAUCCCCGGGCCCAACCUGGGAACUGCAUCUGAUACUGGCAGGCUUGAGUCUCGUAGAGGGGGGUAGAAUUCCAGGUGUAGCGGUGAAAUGCGUAGAGAUCUGGAGGAAUACCGGUGGCGAAGGCGGCCUCCUGGACGAAGACUGACGCUCAGGUGCGAAAGC
Molecule: ribosomal RNA, 686 nt
Filed under: uncultured bacterium
Lineage: Bacteria
Description: bacterial SSU rRNA
Rfam family: Bacterial small subunit ribosomal RNA
Source: RNAcentral